CCGCCGAGGCGGGCGGGCUCCUCCCGCGGCUGCUGGGCCCGCCCGGCGGCGCAUGCGGCGCGGGAGGCGGGGGAAUGGCCGGACAUGGCGCUGGCGGCCGCUACGCUCCGGCGGUACCUGCUGCUCCUGGCGCAGGAGCACCUCGAGUUCCGCCUGCCGGAAAUAACAUCUUUGCUCUCACUUUAUGGUGGACAAUUCAGCAGUGAGCAGGAAAUUCGUGUAAAUUCUCCAUUUUGGAUUCUCAAUAUUCCUUCAGAAGAGAUGGCAAGGGGACUAAUGAAACGGACAGUAUGUGCAAAGUCUAUAUUUGAACUGUGGGGUCAUGGAAGAUCUGCGGGGGAGCUCUAUGCAUCUUUGAAGAACUGUCCAAUGGACAAGAUGCUUCCAUAUCUACAGUCAGACUCUACUUACAAAGUACAUAUUCAUACAUUUAAUAAAACACUGACGCAAGCGCAGAAAAUAAAAAAGAUAGAUGCCCUUGAAUUUCUGCCAUUCAAAGGAAAAGUAAACUUAAAGAAUCCAGAACACAUCUUCUGGAUUUUGGAAGAUUAUGGAAUGGACCCUAAUAAUGUUCCAGAAGAGCCUUUUCAUCUGUAUUUUGGUAGAUGGCAGAUUGCAGAUGGCCAAAGAGAACUUAUUGAGUCCUACAGCGUAAAAAAGAGACACUUUAUUGGAAAUACGAGCAUGGAUGCAUGCCUGUCUUUCAUUAUGGCAAACCAUGGGAGAGUGAAACCCAACGAUGUUGUAUAUGAUCCAUUUGUUGGAACAGGUGGCCUUCUAAUCUCUUCAGCACACUUUGGAGCAUAUGUGUGUGGCACUGAUAUAGAUUACAACACAAUCCAUGGAUUAGGCAAGGCAAGCAGAAAGAACCAGAAAUGGAGAGGGCCAGAUGAAAAUAUCAGAGCUAAUCUCCGACAGUAUGGUUUAGAGAAAUAUUACCUUGAUGCACUAGUUUCUGAUUCUUCAAGACCAAUAUGGCGAAAAGGGAUGCUGUUUGAUGCAAUCAUUACAGAUCCACCGUAUGGUAUCAGAGAAGCUACUCGCAGAACAGGUUCACCAAAGGAAACAGUUAAGUCAUCUGAAAAAAGCACAGAAAAUCAUAUCUUCGUUUCAUCCAGUUAUCACCUAAGUGACAUCUUUUUUGACCUGUUGAAGUUUGCAGCAGAAUAUCUGGUGAUGGGAGGAAGAUUAGUUUACUGGCUGCCGAUAUACAGGCCUGAGUAUGUAUUCUUGAUUUCUGAUAUACAGAAGACAUCAUUCCACGCCACCCGUGCCUGAAACUUAUUAGCAACUGUGAGCAGAUGCUUUCCAGCCACACAUCAAGGCGCCUGAUAACCAUGGAAAAGGUGAAAGAAUUCAAGAAAGCAAGAGGAAUGAAGAAACAUCCAUAUUAACUGCAUUGAACGGUUAAUGCACUUGAGGGAGUGUUGACACCGCCACUGACACCCUCCGUAAGAGAUCUUCUCUUACUGAAAAAGAUUCCUGCUAAAUAUUUAGAGUUCAUAUUCUACCAAAUUAUGCUACUCAAGAGCUUAGCUGGGGAUGUUUGACUGGCUUCCUUUCUGAAACAGGCUAAUGCCUCAUGCCCAGGCAAAUUCUAGUGCAAAUAGUCACGACAAAUUGUUUCAUGAAGAUGAUUUUUGACAACGAUUUAUCGCUGUGAAGUUAAAUGCAGCCUAUCCCUAGCGUUCAGAUUGUACCCAUUCAGCUCCCUGUGUACGUAUAAAUACCCUGCGUUAAUCAGUUCAGAAAUCAUUAGUUUCUGAAAACAAAUUCCUUUUACUUUGAUCAGUUCUCAUGUUGCCCAUAAAGCUUUUCACUGGGAAGUGUCAAGUGAGCGGCAUCUCCAGGUAGUUCAGGGUUUCUUAUUUUCAUUUCCCUUUUUUAAGAAGCAGUUUCCAAUCUGUUAUUUUUCUUUAAAGUGGUUGCCAUCUUUCUUGGGCAGUCAUGUCUGUACAGUGGAGAGGUAGGGAACAGGAGCUCUUAAGCUGGAAUUAUUGUGAUGUGGGCCAGGAGCUGCCUUUGUCAGCUCUUCCAAGAAUUCUGUCCCUGCCUGCAGAUCUCCUGUUGUCUAGUGAGCGAUGAUUUGCACAGCUUUUGAUGAGGCCUGGAUUUACCAAGGGGAUUCUGCUGUGGAGUGAUGCACCAAGCCCGUUUCCAUUUGGUGGUCGCAGAUGCUGCUCUUACAGCUGUGAUUAACUUGAAGUUUGUUCUCUUGCAUAUCACAUCCUCUCUUUGCCCUAACCAACUUGCGGGUAGAGGGGGGUAGUUCCUUUCUUCCUUCCUCCCUUCACCCUGAAUCAGCAUUUUGUUGCUUAAGGCAUCAAGAUGAGUGGUGUACAGAUGUAUGACCUCUUGGGGGGUGUGGGGAUUAGCUUUCAGGGUCAAACAUCCUAUUUAUUUCUCAAAACAAGCAAAUUAUGUAGAAUUAUCAUUAAAACACAUCCUAAAGUUAUAAAAAUAUAGUAUAUAUCUUGGUCAAAGAAGAAUUACUGAACUGCAAAUUCAGGGGAAGAACAAGUGCUCUUUUCCUCAGAGUGACCCUGCAUAAGAGACCUGGAGAAGUGGGUGAAGGCUGGCGGUGAGAGGAGCACGUCUUAAAUCCUUCUCGUUUCCUGACUGCCAGUAGUAAUUGUUUGCAGUGUGUUCGUUUUUUUGUGGUGUUUGUUGUUUGUUAUUUUUGUUUUGCUUUGUUUUUCUCCUGUGGAUGUGUUACAAGCCUGUUGAUUAUUGACCUGAGAGUAGUCUUAGGCAUGUCAGUCUUUCCCAGGUGACCAAAAGACUAUAGAUGCACUGUGACUGCAGUGGCAUUACUGAGGUUAUUUUCUCCUGCCGUUUUCCAAGAUUGCAAUAUUUAAAUAGAACUAAUUGGCUGCUGCUGGUGUAACGUUAGAUAUCCACAUGGCACUUAACAUUUAGCAAGUUAGCUUAAGCCAGUGGCAUGGUGCUGGUGUCUGCUAGGAUAGCAGCCGAGAGCUGCUUCAUAGGAAUAUCUCAUUGUGUCCAGAAGAGGGCACUUGUACAUGCAUAUAAACAUCUUGCUAUGUUGAAAAACCUUUUGUUUCGCUCCUUUAGAAUGCAUAUUAGGAUAUCCAAAGCAAGAUGAGGUGUUGAUGUUGCUAGGUGAAAGCCUGGACAGGCUUCGAAAUAGCUGAAGGGGGAGAUUGUCCACUACAAUUCAGUUCAUCCUUGCAUUGUAAUGCUUCUGUAGUAUGAAAAUAUUGACUUAAAUUUACUUUUAUGUUCCUGUGCCUUAUGCUAGAGCAUUCAAGAGCAACCUCAUUUUCAAAUAUGAACAACACUGAACCGAAACUAAGUAGUGAAGCAAUCUGUAUGUUGCUGCACUGCUGAAAAAAGUUGCAGUAAUGAGGAUACAUUGAGAAAAAACAUUUAGUGGAACAGAGCUUUAGUUCUGUGGUAUGCUUGUUUUUGUUUUCUUUUUGCACAGUUCAGUUGUUCUAUGUGAGGCUGUUUAUCUCAGUUCUAUCUUGCCAUUAGGUAUUAUAAGCUGAUGUCAACUAUAAGCAUUACAUGUGUGUUUUAAAAGCUGCCGUCAGUUUUCUUUAGCACUCUGAUUAAAGUCGUAUUUAUUGUGAUUUACUGUGUCAGUUUUAACUUUCAGAAGUACAUGAAUACUGCAUAAAAAACAAAUCCUCUGAUAGUGCUUCAGUAUCUGGAGGAACACAAAUAACUAAAAUGAGUUCCUAUUCUGUUUGUAUCCACCUUCCACAGACCUCUGAUUGAAUUCUCCAGAUGGUAUUUUUUGUGGAAACUAAUCUUUGUGUUUUCCUUUAUGAAAGUAUGUGUGGCAUAGCACGUCCGCUCUCAUUUAUUCAUGCAAGGAUUGGAUUCUGAUGGUGUUAGCGGAGAUAUUUCCAGUGAAGCAGCACUUCAGGUGUCUGGUACUGACAACUUGCAGCAGUUUGCUGCACAGAGUAGAAUAAUGAAAAUCUGAAUGAGUACAUAAAAAAACAACCAACCAAAACAAAAAAACCCACCCAACAAAAACUUGUAUUUGAUCGGUGUCAAAUGAGAAUCCACUGCAUAUGGAUUUUCAUUUCUGUUAAACGUUAAGACAUGGCAAUAGGCUGUAUAUGUUGUUGUUAGUCCUUAUGGAAACCUUAGCAUUUUAUUUUUUUAAUUCUGUAAUCAAUCUAAUGAGUUAAAUGUUUGCCAUUGAAUUGUAAAAAGAGGGGAAAAAAAAACCAAACCACCAAACCAAACAACUUUACUCUUGCUUGUAAUUGUUUGAAAAAGUCUGGGGGAAAACCAGUGGCGAUACAUGCUGAACAUACUACUGUAAAACCUAAUGCUUGCGUUUUGGUACC
Molecule: RNA transcript, 4328 nt
Organism: Columba livia (rock pigeon)
Lineage: Eukaryota; Metazoa; Chordata; Aves; Columbiformes; Columbidae
Gene: TRMT11
Gene name: tRNA methyltransferase 11 homolog
Exons: 13
Source: RefSeq, a predicted model, not a curated record